Molecule: RNase P RNA, 344 nt
Filed under: Candidatus Nomurabacteria bacterium
Lineage: Bacteria; Candidatus Nomuraibacteriota
Description: RNase P RNA component class A
Rfam family: Bacterial RNase P class A
About the family: Ribonuclease P (RNase P) is a ubiquitous endoribonuclease, found in archaea, bacteria and eukarya as well as chloroplasts and mitochondria. Its best characterised activity is the generation of mature 5'-ends of tRNAs by cleaving the 5'-leader elements of precursor-tRNAs.
Source: RNAcentral
CUAUAUUGUUAGGCAACCGCUGGUGUCGCACGACACGAGAGGAAAGUCCGGGCAGCAUAGAGCAACGACAGUCGCUAACGGCGACCGGAGGCAACUCUAGGGAAAGUGCCACAGAAACGAUACCGCCCGCGCCGCGAGGCAACGGUAAGGGUGAAAGGAGUGCGGUAAGAGCGCACAGCGACGUAUGGUGACAUACGAAGAAGGUAAACCCUGUCGGCUGCAAGGAGGCUUGAACACUGGCUGCUCGUCAGCAGGCCGUUAGAACCCGCUAGAUUACGUUGGCAACAGCGUGGCUAGAUAGAUGGUUGCCCACGACUAAACCCGGCUUACGGCAAUAUAGCUUU